GUGGGGAGCCCCUGAUGGAGCCGCUGGGAAACCCUGUAGAGGAGCUGCAGGAGGCAGUGGAGAUGUUGAAUGACACGGUCAGAGAGAGAGGACGAUCACAGAAUCACAUCCAUGAGCAAGCCAUCCAGACUAUGGUCCGACAGCUGGCUUUGCUGUCAGUGCGUGUGGAGGACAGUCUGUGCUGCAGUAGAGAGCUGAACCAGGAACUCCUACAGAGAGAGAAAGACAUGGCCAUGCGCUGUGAACCAGAACAAUGUGGACUAGAGGGACUGAAGGAACAGCAAGACCACCUAGAGGUGAAUUAUGCUGUGCUGAAGGAAGAGGUGGAGGAGCUCCAGAGACAGACUGGUUAUCUAGAGGAGCUAUGCCCAGAGAGAGUGACCUUCCUGGCGGUGGAGGUGCAGGGAGCCCUGGGGGUAUGGAGGGAAUUAAGGAGGAACGUAGAGGGGAACAGAGACCGAUUACGACAGUUUGUUCACCUGCAGGACUUCUUCAGGACCUACCUGGCCAUGAUAUCGUGGAUGGAGGACACCCGGGAGUGUAUUUUCUCUGAGAGAGUGUUGCAUUGUGGGAGGGACGACCAGGAGCCAAUGGCUGCGGAGAUGGAGAUGGACGUCCAGAUAGACAGGAAGUUGGAGGAGUUGGAGGAGCUGGAUGCUGCAGGGAGGAACCUGCUGAACGCUGAGCACCACCUGGCCAACAUGGACAACAACAUGACAUCAGCUCCUGCAUACGAGAGUAUGUUACUGCCCCGCCUCCACACCAAGACCUCCUCCUCUUCAUCCCCCUCCUCCUCCAGGGCUCCUCAAUCUUGCGUCUCUUUCCCCUCCUCCCUGCCCAAGAACACCUCCAUCUUUUCUAGUCUAAAGAUAAGGAGCAAGAAGAGGAGAAGGAAGAGAGACGCUGGCCGCCACACCAUUCAGAAAAUCAUGGUUGUAGAGGGGGAGGAGCAGACAGAGGUGGCAUGUCCUGCUGAAGCUGCACCCCAGCAAAUCACGCUGUACGACACCCAGACCUGGCCAAUGAAGGAGGGCCGGAGGAAGAAGAAGAGCCUAUUAAAGGCCGACGGGGUGGGCCCAGGGCAGGGGGUGGAACUCGUGGACUACAUGGAUAACCCAUUGGCCAGGGAUAUUGAAGAUGAAUGUUCUGGGGUGUCCACUGUCAGCCCCUAUGCAGUGACAGAGGCAGUCUCUAUAGCUCCACCCAGGGGCCAGGUGAGGAGCCACUGCAGGUUCCUGUCUCUGGGGUCUGUUUUGACCUUCGACCUCUCCAAAGACAUGAGGUUGAUCCCCAGUAUACAGGAUGUCAUCACUAUAGGACUCCCAGAACACAGGGGAACCUCCAACCCAAACCUCAAUCCCAACCCUCACACAGAGACACAUGCAGCCCUCAGCUCUUUCAAACAUACCCGCUCCCCUCCCUCAGACACGCACAGAGCACCAGAUAAUGAGGCCGUCACUACUUACAGAUAUGAAACAAUGACACAGAUUCAGACACAGCCACUACUGACACUGACACAGCCACUACUGACACAGACACAACCACUACCGACACAGACACAACCACUACUGACAAAGAUACAGACACAGACACAACCAUUACUGACACAGACACAGCCACUACUGAGACAGACACCGACACAAAUACUAAAACAGACAAAGCCACUGACACAGGCUAUUCAGCUGGAGCCUCUGUCUAAUCUAGAUACAGAUUUUCCUCCUCCUCCUCCUCCUGCCCUGGAUGAGGACUGGGAUCAGAACGUAUCAAGCAAUGACCUAUCCCUAACACAGAUCCAGACCGUACUCCAGGAGCCUGAGCAGGAGUGGUCGGAGCUCAUCUUCAGCAAGCAACCACCAAUCACAGCUUAUUGCCCAAAGAGUCCCACUCCAAUGAACCGAGACCAUUACAAUUACAUGGAAAUGACCAUGGUUAGUAGAAGUCCCAUUGUAAAGAGCAAGGACCCCUGUCCCUCCUCAGCCUAUCAGAACCAUGAGAGCAAGGACCCCUGUCCCUCCUCAGCCUAUCAGAACCAUGAGAGCAAGGACCCCUGUCCCUCCUCAGCCUAUCAGAACCAUGAGCGCAAGGACCCCUGUCCAUCCUCAGCCUAUAAGAACCAUGAGAGCAAGGACCCCUGUCCAUCCUCAGCCUAUCAGAACCAUGAGAGCAAGGACCACUGUCCCUCCUCAGCCUAUCAGAACCAUGAGCACAAGGACCCCUGUCCAUCCUCAGCCUAUCAGAACCACGAGUGCCUCAUUCAGGACCUCAAUGGACACCAGUACCAUCAUAGGUUGAAGACCCAUAGAGAGAGUGUUGACCUCCAGGAGACCAGCCAGGCUUCUCAGAUGGUUGUGAAUCUGAAGGUCAGUGGGUUAGGGAGUAUGAUGCAAGACUCAAUGGACUCUGGCAUCUCUGGUGUCACCAACUCUGGGAGCUUGAAGCUCAAUGCACCUGAUGUUCUCCAAGAGCCCCAGCCCAUGAGGACUGUGGUGGGGAGGCUAGUGUCUCUGGAGGAGGGGCGUAUGGAGGAUGUGUCCACACCCAGGGGAAAUCCCACAGCAACCCCAGCUCCUGCCCACCCAGAGACAAAAACAACACCCAGAAACAGACACCACCAGACAGAGACAGAACUCGACUCUGAUCCGGUCGACCCCGACCUCACCAUCCAUCCAGACCACCAGCAGUUUGAGGAGGUAGAGGAGGAGCUGGAGGACAUCUGGAACCAUAGCAAUGGCUACAGACAGAGUAUCUCCUCUGACAUCAUGUACCAGCCACACCAAGAGGAGGAGGAGGGGGGAAGUAGCAACACCCCAGGACUGACCACAGACCCCCUCUCACCCCCCCAGGCCCAGCCCCAGGCUACCCCCUACAGAAAGCUGAUAACAACUUCUGCCCCUAACCUUCUGGUGGCUGAAUUCACACUCCCCUCAUCCCUCCAAACCCUACUGGGGUACAACCAGCACCAGAACCAAGACCAGGGCUUUAGCCAAGACCCUAACUCCAGAGAAGAGCUCCCUAUGCUGGCUAACAGAGACAUGAGGUCCUGGGCAGCUUUCCCUAGUCAGGACCAACCCUGGAGGACAACAGCACUGGUCAAUGAAACGGCAGCAGAACCAGUCAAGCUACCGGAAAUGGAGGACCAGAAGAGAUAUAUCUACCAGUAUAGAGAGGAGGAGGAAGAGGAUGAGGAGGAGAAGAUGGAGGACACAGGUUGUCCAAAGGACCCAUCAAUGAGUCUGCUGUCUGUCCACAUGGGUCUGCACGGAAACAAUCAGCGAGCUACAAGUUGUGGCACUCUGGAAGGUGUGAUGGAAAAGCAUGGAGAGAGUCUGGCCACAGGGGGGCGAUGUGGCACUAUGAAUGGGAGUGGGUCUGAGCUGCAGACGAUGGAGGGAACUCUGGAGAGGAAACACAAGCUGCAGCUGGGAGGGAAGAAGGCCAGGUCUCGAGCAUGGAGCUCCCAUCAUGCAGUGCUUUACAAACAGACACUCUGCUUCUACCAAGACAGAAAGGAUACACUGAGGAACUGUGUGUGUGGCCUGUCUCUAACCCUGACGGGUGCAGAAUGUGUCUCAGCCCCAGAGAACACUAAGAAACCACAGUGUUUCAGUCUGCGCUUAAGAGACGGCUCAGAGUACCUCCUCAACCCAGCAAACCGAUUCAUGAUGAAGAAAUGGAUGCUGAAAAUACAAGCCAACAGUGUGUCCAGUGAGCAUGUCUCCUCCAUGACGUCACCCAGCGACCUCUUGGUUCAGGACCCCCCCGCCCCCUUCACCACCUCUUUCCUCUCACAAAGUACCAGCACAGGGACGGACAGAGCCAAGGAGAUAGUUGUCCUGACCAGAGAGACCAGAGAGACUCACCGUCAGAUCCCUCAGUUGCACCCAGAGAAACAGCAGGACCCAACAUCCUCAUCACAUACAGGCCGUCGUGGUAAAGGCCGUCGUGAAGAUAACUAUGACUCCCAGAGACAGAAACUGUGUGGUAGAUACAGGGAGAACAGCCCUUCCUCCUUGCACUCCUCCAUCUCUCCUUUCUCCCUCCACAACUCCUCCUCCAUCCCUCCAUUCUCCCUCCACUCCUCUGUCUCUCCUCCUUUCUCCUCUGUCUAUAGAGGUGGUCAGGACUGGCUCAGUCAAGUGAACAAGUGUCACUCAUUUACCUCAGCAAGGUACCAGAAUAUUAAACCAGCGUUGCUGCCCCCAGGAGGCAGAGGCCGGGACUACGGAUCAGUGGGUCUGGACUGUGGGUCAAACUACUCCGUGACUAUGAUUAUAGGAGACAAGCAGUCUGCCGCUUCUCCCACUCUCAGUUGUGAUGGUAGUGGUCCAUCUAUCACCAGUCACACUGACCCACAGCGCCCCCUCCUGGAUGGAUGGCAGCACCACUCAUUUCACCAGGAAUCUACUACAAGAAGGCAGCUUCACCAGCACCAAGCAAUGUACCACCACGACCAGGAACCAUCUCUGAGGUCCUGCACCGGUCUGCCUCCGCCACGCAAGAAGUCUGUCUUCAACAAGUUCUUUGGAAAGAAAGACUGAAGCUGUUAUCAAUCAAUCACAUAUUUCUCUUACCUUUCUUUUGGUAUUUUCUUAAAACUGCAUCAUCGUUGGUUAAGGGCUUGUAAGAAAGCAUUUCACUGUUGUAUUCGGCGCAUGUGAGAAAUAAAAUUUGAUUUGAUAUUUAUGAAGUCCUUUUUUACUUUUACAGUCCUUUCUUGCCCGACAGCUGAGUUAUAACG
Molecule: long non-coding RNA, 4738 nt
Organism: Oncorhynchus tshawytscha (Chinook salmon)
Lineage: Eukaryota; Metazoa; Chordata; Actinopteri; Salmoniformes; Salmonidae
Source: Ensembl